AGCCACGCAGGGGGCAAAGGUCAAACUCAAGGGCGGACCUGACCGGCGAGAGGGAGCCCCCGCCCCUCGCCGUGACGACUGCAGACCCGCCGAACCCCGCACCCGCCGCGGCCCGGGGUGCGGGUGGGCGGCCCCUCGGCGGGAGCCGGCCAGAUGCUGGGGAGAUGAGCAAUGGAUGAUUUUGGCUUCCUCUGAAUAACUCCUGAGAGGGUUAUAAACUCCAUGGAAGUUCCCUAAUAGUGUCCCAUAACUGACCAUUGUCUUGAUACACACUGGGUUCAUAGGAAAGACACGGCAUGUGGAAGACACUGUGCAUGAGGUGAAUGAGUUCUUCCAGCUCUCUUCUCCAGCCCUGGAGCUCCAGAAAGAGGAGGAUGAGCCAGACCCACUGCCCCCAGGUGAAUGCUGCACAUUUGUGGUGGCUCCCAGCAUCUCCCCUUGUGAGUGGCAGGAAGAUAAACUUCACCCACUGGAGAAAAGUGGCCCAGAUGGAGAAAAGCUGGGACCCUGGGCCCUGAAGAGCCACUGGGCCCUGGAGCUGCAGGUGAGGAGAGUCCACCUCGCUCAGAGGAUUGAAGACCUGGAGUAGGAGCUGUCCUUGCUCCUUCAGGCGGCCAACAGCAGUUCGAGCAUAGGAGGGAGCUGGCCCAGCCAACACAGCAGCCUAAGGGGCACUGAGUCACAUCAGAUACUGCAUGGUGGCCACCUCCGGGAGGUGCCUUCUCACCGAGAACAUGAACGGCUUCCCCUGGUAGGAAGGAGUGGGCAUCUGGGGCCCGGAGUGUGUGCUGGUUUUACGACGUGCUCCUACAGGGAGACACCUGGAUUUCUUUCAGAGCCUGGACCUCAGCUUGUGCUCAAUUCUGCCUUGAACUUUCUGGGGUGAGGGAAAAUAAACUGACAUGGGUUGACAAAA
Molecule: long non-coding RNA, 916 nt
Organism: Lemur catta (Ring-tailed lemur)
Lineage: Eukaryota; Metazoa; Chordata; Mammalia; Primates; Lemuridae
Exons: 5
Source: RefSeq, a predicted model, not a curated record